GCGGAAGUUCUCGUGAUUAUGUUUAAUUUUUCCCGAAAAGAACCUUCGGACCCAUCGACUUUAAAGCUAAAAGUGAAGGUUCCUCCUUCCUUCAUUCCGUGUUCGUUGCUCUUGGUGUUUACGUGUGAAGUGUUUGAUCUUAAAAGAAAGAAAAAAAAUCUCGGGGGAAACCGAACUGAAAGAAUUCUACCUUCCGCUUGUAAUCGUAGCUCGUUUACUGCCUGGUUGCACCGAUAGGGAUAGACUUAACAAAAUCCCCGAGACCAACUUUCAGUCCAGGUAUGUGGAACUUGGCACACUGCGUUGGUCUCCUGUAUUCUUCUUCAUCUGGGGUUUCACACAUUCAACAAUACCCGGCAGCAAGAAAGGCUUCCCCUACACGAGCUCCAUGAGAGAGUACCCAGUACUACCAAAAUAUUUACAUCUUACGAAAAACAUUUCAUCACUCACCGGCUUUCAGUGAGAGGUCGAGGCCGAGAGACUGCAGGGCGAAGGAUGGGAAUGUGGG
Molecule: long non-coding RNA, 508 nt
Organism: Macrobrachium nipponense
Lineage: Eukaryota; Metazoa; Arthropoda; Malacostraca; Decapoda; Palaemonidae
Exons: 4
Source: RefSeq, a predicted model, not a curated record